This 1161-nucleotide long non-coding RNA is filed under the name Homo sapiens (human). RNAcentral describes it as "HSALNT0048015". The record is from RNAcentral. Lineage: Eukaryota; Metazoa; Chordata; Mammalia; Primates; Hominidae.
GGGUACAGAGGUUUUUCUGUUUCUUCUUAGCAUCUAUUUAUUCUCCAGGUCUCAGCUGCAUUGCCACUGCCUUAGGGGAGGCCUUCCCUGACUGAUUUGAGGAGGUGCGAUGUCCAAAGGAUGCAGUUUUAAGGUCAGAUUUUUGUGGUGGGCCUCUUGGCAUCUUCCAGAAUUUAAGAAUACUCAUGAGUCUGGAAACAAUAAGAGGUGGUAUGGGUUCAGCAUAAACCUUCAAAGCAAUCACUAGGCAUGGUAAUUAUAUGGUCUUCAAGCAAGUGGAGGCUGAUAAUUUCACAUAGAGGAGGGAAGAAGAAGCUGCUUUUGUUGGAGCAUGCUCAACCUGAGUGCUCGGCAAGGCAAAUGGAAUGGAGGAUCCACACUCCUGGAAGCAGCUUUCAACCAACAAUGAUGGACAGUUAGUGGCUAGAAACUCUCGCUUUAUCCCUUAGUUGGGCUUACCCUGUAUGAUCAUAUACCCUGUCGACAGCACCACUGUUGUCCAGCACUGUUGAGUUCCAGUUGCUCAGCAUAGUGUUGAUCAAGAAUUUAAGGUGCCUUCCCUCUCCUGGCUCUCUCAUUUUCCCACUUUAUUAAUAGCAUUUCCAGGGAUCACCUCUCAGUUUAGCUACUUGCAUUCAAAUUCUUGUCUCAGGAUCUGCUUCUGGGUGAAACCAAGACAUCUAAGUUCCACUGGCAAUGAAGUAAUUAAUGCCUUAAAUCUGAUUAGAUCUAUAAACUAAUUCCAGAUUCUCAUCUUUAAGGUUGGUCUCUGUGAUGAUUAAUAUUGAGUGUCAACUUGAUUGAAUUGAAGGAUGCAAAGUAUUGUUCUUGGGUGUCUGUAGGGUGUUGCCAAAGGAGGUUAGCAUUUGAGUCAGUGGACUGGGAAAGGCAGACCCACCCUCAAUCUGCGUGGGCACAAUCUAAUCAGCUGCUAGUGUGGCCAGAAUAAAAGCAGGCAGAAGAACAUGAAAAGACUAGACUAGUUUAGCCUCCCAUCCUAGAUCUUUCUCACGCACUGGAUGCUUCUUUCCCUUGAACAUCGGACUCCAAGUUCUUCAACUUUGGGAAUUGGUCUGGCUUCCUUGCUCCUCAGCCUGCAGAUGGCCUAUUAUGAGACCUCACCAUGUGAUGGUGUGAGUCAAUAUUCCUUAAUAAACCCCC